Non-coding RNA from Lolium perenne, 1668 nucleotides. The record is from RefSeq and is a predicted model, not a curated record. NCBI's taxonomy places the organism in Eukaryota, Viridiplantae, Streptophyta, Magnoliopsida, Poales, Poaceae.
CCCAACGAGCCCCACGACUAGUCGUCCCCGCCGAUGCUCGAAACGGCGCACGCGGCGGCGGCGCGGCACCUGCACCGGCCACCGGGGGGUUUCGCCACCCACGCCGUAUUCGUUCCUCCUCGACUGCUUCGUCCGUGUCGAGGGAAGCGCAGAGGCAGAUCCAUCUCCAGCAGUGCAGCCUCUGAUCUUCUGAUUUAUGCAUUUGUUACUAGCCCUUUCACACCAUCAAUGAUGCUUCAAUGGUGAAUUCAUCUUUUAGUACUAUGUUGUUUUAGAAAUACUCCCAUUAGUGUUCUUAUCUUUUCGAGUUGGUGUAUACUCUGUUUAUAUAAGUUGCUAAUGCACAGUGCAAGUGCAGUACAGCCAAACAUACCUUGUGGAUUGAUGAUUGAAUUUCCUUGUUUGGUGGUUUUGUUCUAUGCCGAACAUUAGACAAAAAUAUAUAUUAUUUUGUACCAGUACUUCUAUUUGUGCAUUUUCCUUCAUCCUUUAUGGGUGUGCAGAGUACUAUGGUAGCACAGAAACUCGAAUUGCGCAUGAAGUUGCUUCAGAUCAUUCUUCUGGGCAAUAGAUAUUCUCAAAUCUCAAUGGUUGACCAAGUGUAUCAUUCUCCACACAAUUCUUUUAACAGAAGUUAAACUUUCAUGCAAGUCUACAUCAUGGUGACUGGUUUUAGAGAACUUACUUCAUUAUACUACCCAAAUUUUUCCUCGGGUAUUUUGAUCAAAAUACAAUAGCAUGAUAUUUUGGGAAAAUAUCUUAUCCCCGUCAGUAGUUCUAUCUUGUAUGUACAUCUAAAAGCAUAAAGAUAUUUCCUCCUCAAAUCUUUCUUUAUUCCAUUUCAUGGGUGCGUAUAUAUAGAGGUGGUGAUUGGUGAGUUGCCAAAACAACUGAAAGAAUGGGCUCCAGGACACGAUAUUUAGAAGAUGGUGACAACUAAAGUUAUAAAGAAAAUGUCACCAGUUGAGGACUCCACCUGAGAUGCCAAAAGGCUUCUGUUCAAGUUUUUUUCGAACAAAAAGCAGGAACGAGUGAAGGUUCACCUGGAGGACUGACUAUUACAGGCUGGUUUAGACGGUAAACAGACAAGUAGUUGAUUAACAUUCAGAGGAAAAGCUAAAAAGUAUGAUGGAUGCAUCUGUGUUAACACUUUGGAGUCAAUUUCACAUGUUCAUGGGAAGAUGAUCUAACAAAGGAACAUAUGAGGCUUUUCAGCAACGUAAGUCAAAUAUGAGCAAUUACAUAGCAAUUUUUCUAGCUGGCAUUCAACACCUGUAGAUCUGAAUUCCUUUUGCUAAAGAUGGCACUGUAGACGUCCAAAUGAUUAAAAAGGGAGAGGACAGCAGGCAUGUAAUAUUAUAGUUUUUUGCCCCUUUGUAAGUCCUAUGAUUUCCCAGUAUUGGUGGACCUGAAGCCACCAAACACUGCUACAGAGAGAGAGCCUUUGACCCACUCAGUAUGCCACAGCACAGAGCUACAGAUACUUUCUGCUUGCUUACUCCACCAACCGCAUCAGAGUUAGCUCAUCUCCCCCUUGACCAGUUUCUCUCCAUACGCCCACGUAGACAACAUAGGAUUGUCUUAAUCCGCUAUAAAGCUCAUGCAGAACGAGAAACUUGCCACAAAAACACCUGAACCAUCUAAAGUUCCAAACACAGCAAGAGCUAA